This 658-nucleotide ribosomal RNA is filed under the name Shigella sonnei. RNAcentral describes it as "partial 23S ribosomal RNA". It matches the Rfam family "Bacterial large subunit ribosomal RNA", at positions 221 to 920 of the family's 2925-position model. The record is from RNAcentral. Lineage: Bacteria; Pseudomonadati; Pseudomonadota; Gammaproteobacteria; Enterobacterales; Enterobacteriaceae.
GAAAUCAACCGAGAUUCCCCCAGUAGCGGCGAGCGAACGGGGAGGAGCCCAGAGCCUGAAUCAGUGUGUGUGUUAGUGGAAGCGUCUGGAAAGGCGCGCGAUACAGGGUGACAGCCCCGUACACAAAAAUGCACAUAUUGUGAGCUCGAUGAGUAGGGCGGGACACGUGGUAUCCUGUCUGAAUAUGGGGGGCCCAUCCUCCAAGGCUAAAUACUCCUGACUGACCGAUAGUGAACCAGUACCGUGAGGGAAAGGCGAAAAGAACCCCGGCGAGGGGAGUGAAAAAGAACCUGAAACCGUGUACGUACAAGCAGUGGGAGCACGCUUAGGCGUGUGACUGCGUACCUUUUGUAUAAUGGGUCAGCGACUUAUAUUCUGUAGCAAGGUUAACCGAAUAGGGGAGCCGAAGGGAAACCGAGUCUUAACUGGGCGUUAAGUUGCAGGGUAUAGACCCGAAACCCGGUGAUCUAGCCAUGGGCAGGUUGAAGGUUGGGUAACACUAACUGGAGGACCGAACCGACUAAUGUUGAAAAAUUAGCGGAUGACUUGUGGCUGGGGGUGAAAGGCCAAUCAAACCGGGAGAUAGCUGGUUCUCCCCGAAAGCUAUUUAGGUAGCGCCUCGUGAAUUCAUCUCCGGGGGUAGAGCACUGUUUCGGCA